Molecule: small nuclear RNA, 139 nt
Organism: Saimiri boliviensis boliviensis (Bolivian squirrel monkey)
Lineage: Eukaryota; Metazoa; Chordata; Mammalia; Primates; Cebidae
Product: U4 spliceosomal RNA
Source: RefSeq, a predicted model, not a curated record
AGCUUUUCACAGUGGCAGUAUCGUAGCCCAGAGGUUUAUCUGAGGCACGAUUAUUGCUAAUUGAAAACUUUUCCCAAUAUCCCGCCACGAUGACUUGAAAUAUAGGUGGCAUUAACAAUUUUUGGCAGUCUCUAUGGGA